AAUGGAGAUUUAUAUUAUUAUGGUAUCGGUCUCCUAAGCACUUAGAACUGAAGUUGUGAACAUCAGUAGUGUGAUAUUGUUUAGACUGAGUAUGGAUGCUUUCCAUUUUUAUGCAGCUGGACUGCUGAAUAAAUUAUAGCAGCCUGGUGGUCGUGGAAAUAUAUAUAUAUAUAUAUAUAUAUAUAUAUAUAUAUAUAUUUUUUUUUCAUUAUUACGCAAGCGAAGGCACGUAGCGCUGUUUCUUCUCAGUUAUUGUCUGCUGCAGAUAUUGCGUGUGAAGUAACAGAGUUAAAGUUCUUAAAACAGUCUGUGUUAGAUGGAGAAGGGAACUACAGACGUGUGAGAAAUCUGAAGUGGAAUCAUUUCACUCCUUUGAAGAAGUGAGGAAAGCUAUCAGUGAAUUUGAGGAAAACGUAAAAUCCAAUUUCAUUGUUGUGGAACAGAACAAACACUUUUCGAAUGAAAAUUUUUGGCCAGCUCUGAAGACAAGAAUUCAUUGGCAGCAACAAACCCUACAAGGUGUAAUUGUGAUACCCUUCAACGGUAUUCCAUAUGUGAUUAUUGGGCGGAAAGUUCUAAUGUGUCAUUUGGGAAGAGAUUUGGCAGUUGCCAAGAAAAGGAAAUAUGCUGAACAGAGAAACAAAAAACAGUAAAUUUAACAGUGUCAUCUCACCUUGACAACCCUUUGGAAUGGAUCAUUAUUACUUAAAAUACCUGGACUGUGAACCUCUCUUUACAAAUGUACUAACACAAGGAGACAAAAGACAUGAAAUUGCCAUUUAUUUUCACUAUACCAACAUGUGAAGAACAUUGUAAGAGUGCAUUGGACCAAUACCAAAUGGAGAUGAACACAUUAUCUUACAACAAAGACAGCUUAUUCAGCAUACCAAAAAGAUGAAUUGUCCAGCAAAAAUCCUUAUUUAUCAUGUCAUGUCUUUUCUAGAUUAUAAGAUCCACAGUGUCACUGAGAAAAGAAGAAAACUGGCAUCUCAGAAACUGAAGUCUGCUCUUCAGAAGAAUACCAGAAAUAUUCAUGUACUGCAUACAUAUUUGACAACAUUUCCUAAACGCUCAGACCAUGUCAAUCAUGCAGUGAGUGGAGAGGUA
Molecule: long non-coding RNA, 1107 nt
Organism: Protopterus annectens (West African lungfish)
Lineage: Eukaryota; Metazoa; Chordata; Ceratodontiformes; Protopteridae
Exons: 6
Source: RefSeq, a predicted model, not a curated record